GCCGAACAAUCAGGCUCAAUUCCUGAAACAUCUUGUGGGACCUCAUCAUCAGAGACAACAUGGCUGCAUUGUAACUCAGAAUUUGUAAUUAAGCACCUUGAAUUUAAAUUGCAGAACCUGCAUGGAGAAGAAGCAGAAUUGAAAUUCAUCCGUCGGCGAGUAGCGAGGCGAUAGCGAAUUCUAGAAGCAUGCGGUGCCGAUAAAGUCGCUCG
Molecule: unclassified non-coding RNA, 212 nt
Filed under: Hevea brasiliensis (rubber tree)
Lineage: Eukaryota; Viridiplantae; Streptophyta; Magnoliopsida; Malpighiales; Euphorbiaceae
Source: RNAcentral